Molecule: ribosomal RNA, 440 nt
Filed under: uncultured bacterium
Lineage: Bacteria
Description: partial 16S ribosomal RNA
Rfam family: Bacterial small subunit ribosomal RNA
Source: RNAcentral
CCUACGGGAGGCAGCAGUGGGGAAUAUUGCACAAUGGGGGAAACCCUGAUGCAGCGACGCCGCGUGAGUGAAGAAGUAUUUCGGUACGUAAAGCUCUAUCAGCAGGGAAGAAAAUGACGGUACCUGACUAAUAAGCCCUGGCUAACUACGUGCCAGCAGCCGCGGUAAUACGUAGGGGGCAAGCGUUAUUCGGAUUUACUGGGUGUAAAGGGAGUGUAGGCGGGAGGGCAAGUCUGGAGUGAAAUCCCAUGGCUUAACCAUGGAACUGCUUUGGAAACUGUGCAGCUAGAGUGCAGGAGAGGUAAGCGGAAUUCCUGGUGUAGCGGUAAAAUGCGUAGAUAUUAGGAGGAACACUAGUGGCGAAGGCGGCUUACUGGAAUGUAACUGACGUUGAGGCUCGAAAGCGUGGGGAGCAAACAGGAUUAGAUACCCUAGUAGUC